AUGGGCAGAUUUCGCUGUGUUCUAGCUAGGACUAAUGAUAGAAGCCCAAAUACAAUCAGGUCAGGAACAAAAGGGUCCUUCCUGACUCUCAGAACUAGUUCAGUGAGUUUCUUCAGCAGCAAUGGGGUCAGGCUGUCAAUGCCUGCCAGGAGUCAGCCUGCCGCCCUCUCUCAGCUCUGCUCUGCCCUGACUGGACCUUCCCUGCUGUGGAAAAGAACUCCAGCGCUCCAGGUGCACACGAUUCCUGCAGUUGGCAAUUGGGAGUCUGUGGCCCUGGGUCGCCAGCCUGGCAGCACUGUGUCUGGUGCUGGAGUCUCCAUGAGGAAGCUGUGUGUGGACACAAGUGCAAGUUUGCCUGCUCUUCAGCCUCUCCACGGCGUGCAUCUGAGGUGCAGGCUCGGCCAUAUUGCCCACACUCAGAAGAGAGCAUCAGGAACCUUCUGCUGUCAGGACAACUGGACCACGUGCCUCCCAUUCCCAGGUCCCAGCAUGCUGUGGCUGCCUCUGUUCAGCUGUGGUCUUCCUCCCGUGCAGCACGCUCCUCCCAGCCCCAUCGCUGUCUUUGCAGGCUGAUCAGCAUGGUCACGAACAUGGGGCCACACAGGGGAACUGGUGUCCCACGCCUGGCCUCUUCUUGCCUGAGGUGCUUGUUGGCCAUAAUCAUAUGGCUCUUUGGCCCAUCCCAAGGCGGCCUUCUGUCAACAUGCUUUUAACUUUCUGGCAAGUCUUCCUUGUCUUGCCUGUGUGUGUGUUUUUUUUUUCUAUUGUGAUUUUUUUCUCCAGCAUGUCCUCACCCCCUUCAGGCUCCAUGCAAGCCGGCAAGGAGGGGCCAGGAGAGGUGGGGAUGGCAGCUGCUAUGGCUUAGUUUCCUUAAAGUUGUGUCCUUGGCUUUGUGGAGCUUGAGGGGAGGUUUGUAGGCUUUAAAUAUUUUUUGCUCUUUGGAUGGAAACCCAGGGCCUCCCGGUGGCAUUCUCCUCCACUGGAGGGUGCUGUAGUGUAGGAGUGGUAGUUGUGGAAUUGAUUUAAAAGCUGUUUGUUCCAAUUUCAAUAAGAGGACCAUGGGAGAUGUCACCACGUUAGACUAUGGGUUGGUGGUCUUUGGGGAUGGUGGUGGGAGAGGGAGUUCCCAUUGUCCCUCAUCCCAAGAUGCCAUUAAUGCUGGGACAAGAAGCAGGGCGCGGGAAGUGAUCCCAAGACAGUAGUGAGGACAAAGCCCUCAUCUCCCAGGGGUGGGGUGUUUGUUCCAGCCUCUGAAGUUUGCGAAGCCUAUGUCAUCUUUUAUAGGGUGUGGGGAUGCCUCACGGAGGCAGUCAAGGCCCAAGGUGGGAAAGUGGUCCCUGGGGGAUGGACGGGGGUCUCAUCCCCCAUGCAGCUGCACAGCAUCCUGAGGCAGGGCCUCAUGGUCAGGUGUGGGGUCCAGAGUCAGUCAGACCCAAGGACAGGCUGGUGGUGUCAUGUGUGCCCAGCCUGGGGGGCUAUGGUCUUGGGGGUCCUGAGGGCCAGGAGGGUCUAGUGCUGGCAUGGAGGCCUGGAGUGUGUUGGGCAGCCUGAGACCAGACCCCGGAGGAACUCUCAGGAGAGCCUGGGCACAUUUUGAAGCAUAUUCAUUGCUGGAAAGGAAUACCGCUGCAGAGUGGGUCUGUGGGAACAGUCUGUGGUUUUCCCCAGUUUAAUCCUUCGGUUCUGGCGUUCAACAAUUGAUUUUUCUGGCUCCCAGAUUACAGCUUUGUUUUCUAAACUCUAGCUCAGUCUUUUCCAAACUUGGUUGGUGGUAGGCUUUGGAAGAAUAAUUUCACCAAACUUCUCCAAGACCCAAGUGUCAGAUGACUAAGAGCAGAGCUCAGGAGCCAGAGUGGUCCUCUAGCUUCCGCAGUCACCUGUCUUGUAAGUUACUAGCGCAGGGGCAGCUCUGAGUGAGUGUCUCCUAAGCGGUUUCCUUAGUGGGUGGAAAUAAACGAAGACCACCCAAAUGAGAACAAAGGCUGUUUAUUCAGAGCUGUUAUAGCAAGGGGGUCCGCGGCCAUCACUUGUGUCCUGACAGACUCACAGGCAGGUGAGGAGUGGAGAAGCUUCAUCAUGGAAAAGGGGAGGCUUCGGAGGCCUGGUCUGUGGGCCUGGGGAAGCCAGAGGCGACUGGUGAGAAGUGGGCAUCCCAUGAGAUUAGCUAGGGGACAUACUGGGCUUUCUCUGGUUGGUCCUAGAUUGGAAGCAGGGACAAAAACUAGGAAAACUGUCAGUUAUUAAUCAAGUCCUGGCCCAUUGGGUCUGAUUGUUAGAGAAUGUAUUGUUUAAUUUCCCGUAUUAUUUCUAGAGAUAGCAAUCUGAAUUCUUACAAGCCUUGCAUAGAACAGGCUGGCCUCCUGGACUGGUUCCUGUAGAUGUCGGCUUGGCCUCCUGGGCUGGCUGCUGCAGGGGUUGGGUGGGAGUUCUACUCUUACAGAUGUUCUGGCCAUUGUGCAUUUGUGUACUCAGUCUCUGAAGUGCUCGGCCAUAGUAAGCACUCCCUAAAAAGUAGCUAUUGUUGUCUCUCCCACCUGAUGAUGACCAGAUUAUUCACCUGGACUGUCUGAGAACUAAGCCCUGCCCAUUUCAGUGGCUGCUUGGCAUGCACGCCCUGGGCCAUCUCCAGAUCUGGCUGACUCUGGCCUCAUGUGGUCUUUCCAUGGUAGCUCUACCUAGGGGGCUUUGGCACAUCAGUGCAGUCAGAUGACAUGGUGGAAAUAUUUGUUGAAUGGAUUGCUAGACUCCUUUUCUAGAGGUUCAGGGCCCACAACCAAUGUCAUCAUAUUAUGUGCUUUGCAUUUUAAAUUCUCUAACGUCGUAGUCUUCCCCAGGCCAGUGUACAUCCUUUACAGGGAAUAAGGCACUUUCAGAAUGUCUUAUCAGUCUCUCUCCUCACAUUUCUUGAUUUCUUUUUGUGUCAUUUUCUCACUCAUUUCCUUUCGUAUGUUCCUUUGAUCUCCAACUUUUCCUUAGUUUCUCAUUAUUCUGACUAUUCCCUAAUUUUCACAGCUUCCAAAAUACUUCCAGAAUGGGAGAUUGUAUUAGUUUUUUCCUAUUGCUGCUAUAAGAAGUUACCGUAAACCUGAUGGCUUAAAACAACACAAACUUAUUACCUUAGAGUUCUGGAGGUCAGAAGUCUCAUGGAGCUAAAAUCAAGGUGCCAGCAGGGCUGGUUUCUUCUGGAGGCAUCAGAAGAGGAUCCAUUUCUUUGCCUUUUCCACUUUCUGGAGGUCACAUGUAUCCCUUGGCUCAUGGCCCAUCCCUCCCUCUGAAAGCAAGGAGAGUAGUAUCUCCAGGUUGGUCGGCGUCUCUCUCCUGUCCUCUCCGACCCCUGCUCUGUUAUGUUUGAAGGAUGUUUACAUUCAUCUCAUUUGAUUCAAAUAUUCGAGGUUGUCAGUAUCUGCAUGGUUUUGAUGACAAUGGUUCAUUCAGGGAGGUAAAGGACCUUGCACACACCCUGGUGUGACCCAUGGGAAACGGAUCAGAAAGCAGCCUUCAGACUGAAUCAUCUUCUUUGCUUCUUACUUUCUCAGAUAAAGAAACAAAAGCCAACAGAGGUCAAGUAAUUUUCACAAGGUUAUACAACUUGCUUACAUAAAAGCAAAAUCAUGGAGAAAAUCUGUUGGUAAAGAUAAACAGUAUUCUUCUCAAUUAUUUUCCUGCAGUUCUUUUAUUCUAGUCCAAGGCAGAUUUCUGAGCCAAUGGGUAAACACACUUAAUGGCUUUUUUUGAGAAACGUCUUUUCAUAUCCUUUGCUUGUUUUUAGAUCAGGUUAUGUGUUUUCUUGCUAUUAAGUUGUGUUCCUUGUAUAUUUUGGAUGUUAACCCCUUAUCAACUGCAUGGUUUGCAAAUAUUUUCCUCCCAUUUCACAGGUUGUCUCUUCACUCUGUUGUUUGUUUCCUUUGCUAUGCAAAAUCUUUUUAGUUGGAUGCAAUCCCAUUUGUCUAUGUUUGCUUUUGUUGCUUGUGCUUUUGCCAACAUAUCAUAAAAGUAAUUGCCCAGACCAAUGUCAAGAAGCUUUUUCCUGUUUUCUUCUAAGACUUUUACAGUUUCAAGUAUUGCAUUUAAGACUUUAGUUCAUUUUGAGUUUAUUUUUGUAUUUGGUAUGACAUAAAGGUCUAAUUUCAUUCUUCUGCUUGUGGACAUCCAGUUUUCCUAACAGCAUUUAUUGAAGAGACUGUUCUUUUUCCGAUGUGGGUUCUGGGCAUAUUUGCUGCAGAUCAAUCAACUGUGAAUGCAUGGAUUUUCUUCUGGACUCUGCUCUGUUCCAUUGAUCUAUAUUUCUUUCUUUUUUUUCUUUUUGUUUUGAGACGGAGUCUUGCUCUGUCACCCAGGCUGGAGUGCAGUGCACCACUGGAGUGCAUCUUGGCUCACUGCAACAUCUCCCUCCCAGGUUCAAGCAAUUCUCCUGCCUCAGCCUCCCAGGUAGCUGGGAUUACGGGUGCCUGCCACAGCCUGGCUAAUUUUUGUAUUUUUAGUAAAGGUGGAGUUUUGCCAUGUUGGCCAGGCUGAUCUCAAACUCCUGACCUCAAGUGAUCCACCCGUCUCGGCCUUCCAGAGUUCUGGGAUUACAGGUGUGAGCCACCUUGCCUGGCCAAUUAGUCUAUAUUUCUUUUUUUAAGUGACCACCAUGUUAUUUCAAUUUCCAAAGCUUUGUAGUAUAUUUUGAAAUCAG
RNAcentral lists this long non-coding RNA (4678 nucleotides) under Macaca mulatta (Rhesus monkey). RNAcentral describes it as "lncRNA (ENSMMUG00000054973.1)". Lineage: Eukaryota; Metazoa; Chordata; Mammalia; Primates; Cercopithecidae. The record is from RNAcentral.